GCUGGGCAUGGUGGCAUGCACCUAUAGUACCAGCUACUCAGGAGCUGAAGCGGGAGGAUCACUUGAGCCUAGGAGUUCUGGGCUGUGGUGUGCUAUGCCAAUCAGGUGUCUGCACUAAGUUUGACAUCAAUAUGGUGACCUCCGAGGAGCAAGGGACCACCAGGUUGCCUAAGGAGGGAUGAAUUGGCCCAGGUUGGAAACGGAGCAGGGCAGCACUCCCUUGCUGAUCAGCAGCCUGGGCAAUACAGCGAGACCCUGUCUCU
This 263-nucleotide signal recognition particle RNA is filed under the name Nomascus leucogenys (northern white-cheeked gibbon). RNAcentral's name for it is "Metazoan signal recognition particle RNA (ENSNLEG00000025386.2)". It matches the Rfam family "Metazoan signal recognition particle RNA", at positions 1 to 260 of the family's 299-position model. Rfam says of the family: The signal recognition particle (SRP) is a universally conserved ribonucleoprotein. It is involved in the co-translational targeting of proteins to membranes. The eukaryotic SRP consists of a 300-nucleotide 7S RNA and six proteins: SRPs 72, 68, 54, 19, 14, and 9. Lineage: Eukaryota; Metazoa; Chordata; Mammalia; Primates; Hylobatidae. The record is from RNAcentral.